RNAcentral lists this ribosomal RNA (429 nucleotides) under Gemmatimonadota bacterium. RNAcentral's name for it is "Gemmatimonadetes bacterium partial 16S ribosomal RNA". It matches the Rfam family "Bacterial small subunit ribosomal RNA", at positions 355 to 776 of the family's 1533-position model. Lineage: Bacteria; Pseudomonadati; Gemmatimonadota. The record is from RNAcentral.
UAGGGAAUCUUCGGCAAUGGACGAAAGUCUGACCGAGCAACGCCGCGUGAGUGAAGAAGGUUUUCGGAUCGUAAAACUCUGUUGUUAGAGAAGAACAAGGACGUUAGUAACUGAACGUCCCCUGACGGUAUCUAACUAGAAAGCCACGGCUAACUACGUGCCAGCAGCCGCGGUAAUACGUAGGUGGCAAGCGUUGUCCGGAUUUAUUGGGCGUAAAGCGAGCGCAGGCGGUUUCUUAAGUCGGAUGUGAAAGCCCCCGGCUCAACCGGGGAGGGUCAUUGGAAACUGGGAGACUGGAGUGCAGAAGAGGAGAGUGGAAUUCCAUGUGUAGCGGUGAAAUGCGUAGAUAUAUGGAGGAACACCAGUGGAGAAGGCGGCCCUCUGGUCUGUAACUGACGCUGAGGCUCGAAAGCGUGGGGAGCAAACAGG